RNAcentral lists this ribosomal RNA (234 nucleotides) under uncultured bacterium. RNAcentral's name for it is "partial 16S ribosomal RNA". It matches the Rfam family "Bacterial small subunit ribosomal RNA", at positions 1268 to 1500 of the family's 1533-position model. The record is from RNAcentral.
CAAACCUCAGAAAGACCAAUCUCAGUUCGGAUUGUAGGCUGCAACUCGCCUACAUGAAGUUGGAAUCGCUAGUAAUCGCGAAUCAGAAUGUCGCGGUGAAUACGUUCCCGGGUCUUGUACACACCGCCCGUCACACCAUGGGAGUCGGAAAUGCCCGAAGUCAGUGACCCAACCGCAAGGAGGGAGCUGCCGAAGGUGGAGCCGGUAACUGGGGUGAAGUCGUAACAAGGUACC